AACGCGAAGAACCUUACCUGCCCUUGACAUACCAAGAACCUAGUAGAGAUACUGGGGUGCCGAAAGGAACUUGGAUACAGGUGCUGCAUGGCUGUCGUCAGCUCGUGUCGUGAGAUGUUGGGUUAAGUCCCGUAACGAGCGCAACCCUUAUUCUUAGUUACCAUCACGUAAUGGUGGGGACUCUAAGAAGACUGCUGGUGAGAAGCCGGAGGAAGGCGGGGACGACGUCAAGUCAUCAUGGCCCUUACGGGCAGGGCUACACACGUGCUACAAUGGUCGGUACAGAAGGCAGCGAAACCGAGAGGUGAAGCGAAUCCUUUAAAGCCGGUCGUAGUCCGGAUCGGAGUCUGCAACUCGACUCCGUGAAGUCGGAAUCGCUAGUAAUCGCGAAUCAGCAUGUCGCGGUGAAUACGUUCCCGGGCCUUGUACACACCGUAGUAC
RNAcentral lists this ribosomal RNA (441 nucleotides) under uncultured bacterium. Its description in RNAcentral is "bacterial SSU rRNA". It matches the Rfam family "Bacterial small subunit ribosomal RNA", at positions 958 to 1398 of the family's 1533-position model. The record is from RNAcentral.